Molecule: ribosomal RNA, 466 nt
Filed under: uncultured bacterium
Lineage: Bacteria
Description: partial 16S ribosomal RNA
Rfam family: Bacterial small subunit ribosomal RNA
Source: RNAcentral
GACGAACGCUGGCGGCGUGCUUAACACAUGCAAGUCGAACGGAAAGGCCCUGCUUUUGUGGGGUGCUCGAGUGGCGAACGGGUGAGUAACACGUGAGUAACCUGCCCUUGACUUUGGGAUAACUUCAGGAACUGGGGCUAAUACCGGAUAGGAGCUCCUGCUGCAUGGUGGGGGUUGGAAAGUUUCGGCGGUUGGGGAUGGACUCGCGGCUUAUCAGCUUGUUGGUGGGGUAGUGGCUUACCAAGGCUUUGACGGGUAGCCGGCCUGAGAGGGUGACCGGCCACAUUGGGACUGAGAUACGGCCCAGACUCCUACGGGAGGCAGCAGUGGGGAAUAUUGCACAAUGGGCGGAAGCCUGAUGCAGCAACGCCGCGUGCGGGAUGACGGCCUUCGGGUUGUAAACCGCUUUCGCCUGUGACGAAGCGUGAGUGACGGUAAUGGGUAAAGAAGCACCGGCUAACUACGU